RNAcentral lists this ribosomal RNA (769 nucleotides) under uncultured organism. RNAcentral's name for it is "bacterial SSU rRNA". It matches the Rfam family "Bacterial small subunit ribosomal RNA", at positions 34 to 823 of the family's 1533-position model. The record is from RNAcentral.
CGCUUGCGAUGUGCCUAAGGUAUGCAAGUCGAACGAUUCCUGUAUCUUCGGAUACAGGGAGUGGCAAACGGCUGAGUAACGCGUAGGAACCUACCCCAAACUCGAGUAUAGCCCCGCGAAAGCGGGGGUAAUCCUCGAUAGUCCGUGAAGUAUUUUACUUCACGGUAAAGCUUUUGCGGUUUGGGAUGGGCCUGCGUCCUAUCAGGUAGUUGGUGAGGUAAGUGCUCACCAAGCCUAUGACGGGUAGCUGGUCUGAGAGGAUGGUCAGCCAGACUGGGACUGCGACACGGCCCAGACUCCUACGGGAGGCAGCAACUAGGAAUUGUGCGCAAUGGACGAAAGUCUGACGCCGCGACAUCGCGUGGAGGAUGAAGGUCUUCGGAUUGUAAACUCCUUUUCUUACCGAACAAGUUCUGAGUGUAGGUAAGGAAUAAGUGCCUGCUAACCACGUGCCAGAAGCAUCGGUAAUACGUGGGGCACGAGCGUUAUCCGGAUUUACUGGGCGUAAAGAGAAGCGUAAGCGGCUCGAUAAGUUUGGUGUUAAAUCUUCCGGCUCAACCGGAAACAAGCACCGAAAACUAUCGAGAUUGAGUCGAGUAGGGAAGAGGGGAAUUCCUGGUGGAGCGGUUAAAUGCGUAGAUAUCAGGAGGAAUACCAAGGGCGAAGGCACCUCUUUGGACUCGUACUGACGCUGAGGCUCGAAAGCGUGGGUAGCAAAACGGAUUAGAUACCCGUGUAGUCCACGCCGUAAACGAUCCCUGUUAGAUGU